RNAcentral lists this non-coding RNA (81 nucleotides) under Erwinia pyrifoliae. RNAcentral describes it as "Hfq-regulated sRNA 13". It matches the Rfam family "Hfq-regulated sRNA 13". Lineage: Bacteria; Pseudomonadati; Pseudomonadota; Gammaproteobacteria; Enterobacterales; Erwiniaceae. The record is from Rfam by way of RNAcentral.
CACGCCUCCUCUUUACCCCUUCAUCCCUGUGUAGUCAUUCGUGUUGUCACUGACCGACCGCCCUUUGCGGUCGGUUUUUUU